Non-coding RNA from Thoreauomyces humboldtii, 71 nucleotides. The record is from the annotation of a GenBank genome assembly. NCBI's taxonomy places the organism in Eukaryota, Fungi, Chytridiomycota, Chytridiomycetes, Spizellomycetales, Powellomycetaceae.
CAGACAGUGGUUUAGUGGUAAAAUUACCCCUUGCCAUGGGGUAGCCCCGGGUUCAAUUCCCGGCUGUCUGA